This 373-nucleotide unclassified non-coding RNA is filed under the name Hevea brasiliensis (rubber tree). Lineage: Eukaryota; Viridiplantae; Streptophyta; Magnoliopsida; Malpighiales; Euphorbiaceae. The record is from RNAcentral.
ACUAUGCAAAAUGCAUGUAUCAGAAAGCCAAUUAUGUCAAGCCAAUCAAAGUAAUUGCUAAUAUGACAUCUUCUUUUUGUUUCAUAACAUGUGCUCUAAUAACUUCUGCACAUGUAGUCAAACUUAAUCCAUUAUAUCCAUGUAAAGAAAUUGAAGGCAGAGUUACAUAACAAAAACAAUUACAUGGACAAAAGAAUGACUUACCCUCUUAGCAUUUGUUCUCCAGCUUCCAAUUUAUUAUAAUUUCAGGGAUGUAACCAACUAUAAGCCUGUGAUUCCUCUCACUUGGAUGAGCUAAUGUAUGUGGAAAGUGAAAGUCCAAUUCAAAAUUAUUCAGAACUCAUAUCCAUUAUCAUGUCACUUGUCAAGAACA